UCCUUACUGAGAAUAGCCCUCGAAAGAGGAUUAAUACUCCGUAACAUCCCGAUGUGGCAUCACAAUGGGAUUAUAGCUCCGGCGGUUAAAGAUGGGCGUGCGCCUGAUUAGAUAGUUGGCGGGGUAACGGCCCACCAAGUCUGCGAUCAGUAACUGGUGUGAGAGCACGACCAGUCACACGGGCACUGAGACACGGGCCCG
RNAcentral lists this ribosomal RNA (201 nucleotides) under uncultured bacterium. Its description in RNAcentral is "partial 16S ribosomal RNA". It matches the Rfam family "Bacterial small subunit ribosomal RNA", at positions 128 to 334 of the family's 1533-position model. The record is from RNAcentral.